This is a non-coding RNA of Dermacentor albipictus, 74 nucleotides long. The record is from the annotation of a RefSeq genome assembly. Lineage: Eukaryota; Metazoa; Arthropoda; Arachnida; Ixodida; Ixodidae.
UCCUGGUUAGCUCAGAUGGUAGAGCGAUCGCCCCAAGAAGGCAUUGGUCCUGGGUUCGAUCCCCAGACCAGGAA